This is a long non-coding RNA of Zootermopsis nevadensis, 1248 nucleotides long. RefSeq lists it as uncharacterized. The record is from RefSeq and is a predicted model, not a curated record. Lineage: Eukaryota; Metazoa; Arthropoda; Insecta; Blattodea; Termopsidae.
UAACGCUUUUAAGCGUAUAUACUGAACAACACUUGGACGGAACAGAAAAAAAUUUCAAAAUAAUAAUUGAAAACUAUGUUGCAAGAAUCGCCCGAUAACCGGAACCUAUGAAACAGAACACUGCGCGUGCGCUGUGCCGCGUAAGUGAGGUGGGCCAGGGGUAAGACGUCUUCUUCGAGCUCCGCCAGCCCAAUUUUCACACACAAAUUUAUAGGUUUCUUCACUAGUUCGGUGUUAAUCCUUGGUUUCAGCGGAAUCUGUGCACAUUUUUGGUGUCGACGGUCGGGAUCUUUAGUCAGAAAAGGGUUUGGAAAUUUUCGUAUGUUAGAAAAGACUGGUAGAACUGGAAAGUAGAUUAUAAAAUGCUCCGUAUAAUUAUUGUCGCCAACUGACUACGUAUAUGGAGCACAAUCCCAGAACAAAAAAGUCGCUCAGGUGGUCUUGCCAUUUGAAGUUUCACUAUAUCAACAAGGGUCCACCCUUGGGCCCUGUCCUGAGUCAGGAUUUCCAUGGAAGCCUUGCCAAUGAACUACAAUACACCAUCAUACUACAAACAUUUGUAAAAAGUGUAUGAUCUAAAACUCACAGCAUCACAUACCUUGAUAAUGGGGACACAGAUGGUCCCUGAAACAUCAGUGAGUGUUCACUAUUUGACAUGGCUGGUAACCUUAGAGGACUUUAAGUAUAUUAAUUAUAAAACUGAAAAAAUUGAUGCAGAAAUAAAUGUAGAUAAAAGGACUUACUUGACCAUGUCCAGACAGACAAAAUCUUUGUAACCGGUGUAUUUUAUAUCAAAUUAAAUGCUUAUAUAAUAAUUAUUGUUUCAAACAAAGCAUAUUUCUGGGUAAAAGGACCUUUGUAAACAUUGACAAAAUUAAAGAAAAACACUUUUUUAACUGUUAAAAACAGUAAUCUUAUGUUAAGCAUAGACAAAGUCUGCAGUAAGAUUUGCUCCAAUCUAUUUAUAAUUAAGGCAGUGUGUGAAUUUAUGGUUAAGUGUACCCAUUCCUUUUAUAUGUUAUGUUUUUGGGCAGCCCUAAGAAGCACUGAAUACCAGACUAAUAAGUAUACAAAAAAGGGUAGUCAGUUUGUAUUCCUAUAGCAAACUGAUUCCUGCAAGCUGACCUUAUACUCUUUAAUACAUACAAGAAACAAAUUCAUUUGGAAAAUAAGUACAGGUAUGUCCAAUUAUAAAGUACAUAUUUAUAAAACUAAAAUUAGCUCGGAACUACCAUAAACGCAAUGUCA